Molecule: ribosomal RNA, 490 nt
Filed under: uncultured Flavobacterium sp.
Lineage: Bacteria; Pseudomonadati; Bacteroidota; Flavobacteriia; Flavobacteriales; Flavobacteriaceae
Description: bacterial SSU rRNA
Rfam family: Bacterial small subunit ribosomal RNA
Source: RNAcentral
AGAGUUUGAUCCUGGCUCAGGAUGAACGCUAGCGGCAGGCUUAACACAUGCAAGUCGAGGGGUAUUGGUUUUCGGACCAAGAGACCGGCGCACGGGUGCGUAACGCGUAUGCAAUCUACCUUUUGCAGAGGGAUAGCCCAGAGAAAUUUGGAUUAAUACCUCAUAGUAUAGUACAAUCGCAUGAUUGAACUAUUAAAGUCACAACGGCAAAAGAUGAGCAUGCGUCCCAUUAGCUAGAUGGUAAGGUAACGGCUUACCAUGGCAACGAUGGGUAGGGGUCCUGAGAGGGAGAUCCCCCACACUGGUACUGAGACACGGACCAGACUCCUACGGGAGGCAGCAGUGAGGAAUAUUGGACAAUGGGCGCAAGCCUGAUCCAGCCAUGCCGCGUGCAGGAUGACGGUCCUAUGGAUUGUAAACUGCUUUUGCACAGGAAGAAACACUCGGUCGUGACCGAGCUUGACGGUACUGGAGAAUAAGAUCGAUCCCC